This 484-nucleotide ribosomal RNA is filed under the name uncultured bacterium. RNAcentral's name for it is "partial 16S ribosomal RNA". It matches the Rfam family "Bacterial small subunit ribosomal RNA", at positions 30 to 507 of the family's 1533-position model. The record is from RNAcentral.
AUUGAACGCUGGCGGCAGGCCUAACACAUGCAAGUCGAGCGGAUGAAGGGAGCUUGCUCCUGGAUUCAGCGGCGGACGGGUGAGUAAUGCCUAGGAAUCUGCCUGGUAGUGGGGGAUAACGUCCGGAAGCGGGCGCUAAUACCGCAUACGUCCUGAGGGAGAAAGUGGGGGAUCUUCGGACCUCACGCUAUCAGAUGAGCCUAGGUCGGAUUAGCUAGUUGGUGGGGUAAAGGCCUACCAAGGCGACGAUCCGUAACUGGUCUGAGGGGAUGAUCAGUCACACUGGAACUGAGACACGGUCCAGACUCCUACGGGAGGCAGCAGUGGGGAAUAUUGGACAAUGGGCGAAAGCCUGAUCCAGCCAUGCCGCGUGUGUGAAGAAGGUCUUCGGAUUGUAAAGCACUUUAAGUUGGGAGGAAGGGCAGUAAGUUAAUACCUUGCUGUUUUGACGUUACCAACAGAAUAAGCACCGGCUAACUUCGUG